GGAAGCAAUACAAGUACAUAACAAUCUAAAGAAAGCUUCUCAAAGUACAAUAACCAAAUUACACUUUGAAAAUACAAAGAAAGACAAAUAUUUAUUUGAAGUUACUUUUCUAACGGGAGACAAAUUCAGAAUUUUUACUUUAUCGUUCUGAAUUAUAAUUUUUUAUUUAUUAAUUUUUUUUGGAUGUUUCUAGAGUUUAUUAUUGUCUGUUUGCAUUUUGGGAGGAUCACGCUUUGAUGGAGGUUUUGAUUGAACAGCAAGAUCUUCUCGUACUAUAAUUUUCUCACAUACCACCUUUGUUAUUUCUAGUGCACCCUCCCCUUCCAUCUUGAUGAUAUCUUGUGAUGGAGUCUCUUUGUCAUCUCCUUCCUCAUGUUCCACCUUUGGUUUUUCUUGUGCAUCAUCUCCUUUGUUGUUGAUAUCUUGGGAUGGAGUCUCUUUUUCAACUAUUUUCUCUUUUUCAUAUUCUUCCUCCUCAUACUCAACCUUUAGUUUUUCUUGUGCAUCAUCAUCUCCUUCAAUCUUGAUGAUAUAUUGGGAUAUAGUCUCCUUUUCAACAAUUUUCUCCUUUACAUAUCCUCCCUCCUCAUGUUCCAUCUUUGGUAUUUCUUGUGUAUCAUCUCCUGUUAAAACAUAUGAAGAGAUGGUAU
Molecule: unclassified non-coding RNA, 650 nt
Filed under: Hevea brasiliensis (rubber tree)
Lineage: Eukaryota; Viridiplantae; Streptophyta; Magnoliopsida; Malpighiales; Euphorbiaceae
Source: RNAcentral